GGACGAACGCUGGCGGCGUGCUUAACACAUGCAAGUCGAACGGAAAGGCCCUGCUUUUGUGGGGUGCUCGAGUGGCGAACGGGUGAGUAACACGUGAGUAACCUGCCCUUGACUUUGGGAUAACUUCAGGAAACUGGGGCUAAUACCGGAUAGGAGCUCCUGCUGCAUGGUGGGGGUUGGAAAGUUUCGGCGGUUGGGGAUGGACUCGCGGCUUAUCAGCUUGUUGGUGGGGUAGUGGCUUACCAAGGCUUUGACGGGUAGCCGGCCUGAGAGGGUGACCGGCCACAUUGGGACUGAGAUACGGCCCAGACUCCUACGGGAGGCAGCAGUGGGGAAUAUUGCACAAUGGGCGGAAGCCUGAUGCCGCAACGCCGCGUGCGGGAUGACGGCCUUCGGGUUGUAAACCGCUUUCGCCUGUGACGAAGCGUGAGUGACGGUAAUGGGUAAAGAAGCACCGGCUAACUACGUG
Molecule: ribosomal RNA, 469 nt
Filed under: uncultured bacterium
Lineage: Bacteria
Description: partial 16S ribosomal RNA
Rfam family: Bacterial small subunit ribosomal RNA
Source: RNAcentral